GAUUUGAUCUCAAAGUUGUUGUUCUCCACAGCUGGUGCCAUGAUACCAAGUCUACUCCCAUGGAUAUUGGGCUGAUCAUAGGUGCCAACAGCUCUAGCUUGGCACUGAUUCCCCUCCAUCUCAAACUCAACUCUGUCCAAAUGAGCUUGCAUUUCUUCUUCUCUUCUCGUCCUUGCAAUCUCCCUUUCAAAAGCUCUAAUGUCUUCAACUCCUCAAGUUCAUGUACCUGACAUUCAAAAGAGCUAGGAGGGAGAAUCAGUAACUAGAUACAAGAAAAUAAGACUUAGUCUCAAGCAAGGACCAAAUCUCAAUGUCAAAAUCAACUUAGUAUUUGGCAACGGCGCCAAAUUUGAUAUGGACUUUUCAAGGGUCCAAGGUUCAAAUCGAUGUAGUAUUUUAGAUGUCAAUCCAUUUCUAAGUGUUUCAAUUCAAUGAGAAUACAGGUUCAUACUUAAGCUAAGUGCAUUCAAUGUAGUGAAGUGAUUAGAUCA
RNAcentral lists this long non-coding RNA (491 nucleotides) under Brassica napus (rape). RNAcentral describes it as "long non-coding RNA (BNAP_LNC011564)". Lineage: Eukaryota; Viridiplantae; Streptophyta; Magnoliopsida; Brassicales; Brassicaceae. The record is from RNAcentral.